AACUUUCGACUAUGGAUCACUUGGUUCUGGCAUCGAUGAAGAACGCAGCGAAAUGCGAUAAGUAAUGUGAAUUGCAGAAUUCAGUGAAUCAUCGAAUCUUUGAACGCACAUUGCGCUCCCUGGUAUUCCGGGGAGCAUGCCUGUUCGAGCGUCAUUACAACCCUCAAGCUCUGCUUGGUAUUGGGCCUUCGCCAUCACUGGCGGGCCUUAAAAUCAGUGGCGGUGCCGUCUGGCUCCAAGCGUAGUAAUUUUUCUCGCUUUGGAAUCCUUCGGUUGCUUGCCAACUAACCCCCAAUUUUUUAAGGUUGACCUCGGAUCAGGUAGGGAUACCCGCUGAAUUUAAGCAUAUCAAUAAGCGGAGGCU
This 364-nucleotide unclassified non-coding RNA is filed under the name uncultured Helotiaceae. RNAcentral describes it as "sequence contains ITS2". The stretch from base 1 to 154 matches the Rfam family "5.8S ribosomal RNA". Lineage: Eukaryota; Fungi; Ascomycota; Leotiomycetes; Helotiales; Helotiaceae. The record is from RNAcentral.